AUGGUUCAAACAUGGUAACCCAUUUCAGGAUUGCCGAAGUCCAGUUUGAUUUUUAUCAUUUCUAUCUUCAAUUCUCACUCUACUUUUUGGCAAGUACUGGACUUAGUGAUUUAUCCACAAUCUCUAGUAAUCCCAAGGCACAUGAUCAAGGGAGACCAUCUUAGAAACAUCCAACAUGAGAAGGGCAUGGUACAUACCAACAUCAAGAUUGUCCACAUCAAUAUAUUAUUGGAUAAGCAUGACCAGAUUGUUGCCAUGUCUCAUGAAUCCC
Molecule: long non-coding RNA, 271 nt
Filed under: Elaeis guineensis (African oil palm)
Lineage: Eukaryota; Viridiplantae; Streptophyta; Magnoliopsida; Arecales; Arecaceae
Description: long non-coding RNA (EGUI_LNC010228)
Source: RNAcentral